CAAAUUAAAUGGUUUAGGAAUAAUUGCUGUUAAAAUGUAAAAGCAUUAGGUUGAACUUGUAUCAAUCAGGUUUAGAUAUCAUGGUUUAAUCCUUUAAGAACCCAAACCGUCUAAUUUCAUCGAACAAUGUGAUAGAAAAAAGUUUGUACAAUAUAUUAGGGAUUUACGCGCAGAGAUCAGAUGAACAUGAUAAACUGAUCUAGCUACGAGCCUACGAGAAGAUAAUAAAAAACUGAAUAUAGUAAAAAAAACUGAAUAUAGUACGUGUGGACAGAGACUGUUAUCCUAUAGUAUUAUAGUAAUAUACUACAAUUUACUUUCAAAACUUCUCUCCCAAAGGUUGAAGACAAGCUUGAUAAAUUGUGUCUUGCCUUAGAGCAGCAUUAACGGGAGGUUUUAAGUGGGGUGCUUAGGUUUUUUUGUAAUUAAAAAAAAAGAAAAAUCACAAUUACCUUAAGCAGCGGAGCUUAAUUAAGAGGAAGAAGCACCGACUCUUGAUACACGUGUCGUCUUCCAUCCUCUCCCGUUCUCUCCUUCUCACCGCCGUCAAUGCUUCGUAACGAUGGCCACAAUCUUCUUCUCUUCCUCUCCACUUGCUUGAAACGGACAAAAAUGGCCACCAUAAACCCUAUUUUAUCUUCGCGCCUGCUCACUCUCUUCAAGCUGGGUCGAUUAACUUCUCUUAUGGCCAUGGGGGGUUCCUUCACCUCCCACAGAGAUUAGCUUCCACAGAAGGUUAUUCCACCUCCACAGUUUGUCAUCCAGAACCAGUAUGAGUUCUUCGUCCAGCGUAUGGGAGGCCCUCCUCUGUAUUCUCAAAGGAAAUGUUAAGUCUUUUUUACAUUUUGGAUUCUUCUUCCUUUACUAUAAUCUGGUGAAUGCCUUCAAAUGUUUGUUUGGUUCUAGCUGUUCUUUUAAUGUUCAUGGCACUUUAAUCAGUUCUGCAUUAACAUAAUUUUCAGGCUGCGAUUGAACUAUGGCUAGCCGCAAUGAUCCCUUACAGAUUGCAACUUCCUAACUGUUUUGUAUAUUGGGUUUGUGGGAGCUCACACAAUGCCGGUUCUGUAUGAGAAAUAUGAAGACGAAGUUGGUGGUUUUGUUGAUUCUCUGCUCAUGAAGUUUCACAGUCACUAUAAGAAGAUGGAUACUGGCUUUCUCAGUCGAAUUCCAAGUGGAAGGUUUGGGUUCAAGAAGCAUGACUAAAUCAACUUGUUUAUCUGUGGAUGAAAGGUAUGUGUAGCUUGGUUUACUCUUGAACGUCUUCUUCUUGGUUUACUCUUAUAGGAUGUUUCAAACAAUGUUGGCUUACUUUCUGAUGAUGGCAAUAGGUUUUACAAACCAAAGUGUUUCUUAAUUUUUUUUUGAUCUUUUAAUAUGUUUUAUAUAAUAAAUAAAUUUUAUCUUAAAUAAAACAAUGUUUAAUU
Brassica napus (rape) is the source of this 1424-nucleotide long non-coding RNA. RefSeq lists it as uncharacterized. The transcript is spliced from 3 exons. NCBI's taxonomy places the organism in Eukaryota, Viridiplantae, Streptophyta, Magnoliopsida, Brassicales, Brassicaceae. The record is from RefSeq and is a predicted model, not a curated record.